AGUGAACGCUGGCGGCAGGCCUAACACAUGCAAGUCGAGCGGCAGCGGGUCCUUCGGGAUGUCGGCGAGCGGCGGACGGGUGAGGAAUACAUCGGAAUCUGCCCUGUCGUGGGGGAUAACCUAGGGAAACUUAGGCUAAUACCGCAUACGACCUACGGGUGAAAGCGGGGGAUCGCAAGACCUCGCGCGACAGGAUGAGCCGAUGUCCGAUUAGCUAGUUGGCGGGGUAAAGGCCCACCAAGGCGACGAUCGGUAGCUGGUCUGAGAGGAUGAUCAGCCACACUGGGACUGAGACACGGCCCAG
Molecule: ribosomal RNA, 304 nt
Filed under: uncultured bacterium
Lineage: Bacteria
Description: bacterial SSU rRNA
Rfam family: Bacterial small subunit ribosomal RNA
Source: RNAcentral